GUGUCAGCAGCCGCGGUAACACGUAGGGCGCAAGCGUUGUCCGGAAUUAUUGGGCGUAAAGAGCUCGUAGGCGGUUUGCUGCGUCCGCUGUGAAAACCCAGGGCUCAACCCUGGGCUUGCAGUGGAUACGGGCAGACUAGAGGUAGGUAGGGGAGAAUGGAAUUCCCGGUGUAGCGGUGAAAUGCGCAGAUAUCGGGAGGAACACCGGUGGCGAAGGCGGUUCUCUGGGCCUUACCUGACGCUGAGGAGCGAAAGCGUGGGGAGCGAACAGGAUUAGAAACCCUCGUAGUCC
RNAcentral lists this ribosomal RNA (292 nucleotides) under uncultured bacterium. RNAcentral describes it as "partial 16S ribosomal RNA". It matches the Rfam family "Bacterial small subunit ribosomal RNA", at positions 505 to 796 of the family's 1533-position model. The record is from RNAcentral.